This 842-nucleotide ribosomal RNA is filed under the name Arthrobacter globiformis. RNAcentral's name for it is "bacterial SSU rRNA". It matches the Rfam family "Bacterial small subunit ribosomal RNA", at positions 62 to 914 of the family's 1533-position model. Lineage: Bacteria; Bacillati; Actinomycetota; Actinomycetes; Micrococcales; Micrococcaceae. The record is from RNAcentral.
UCGAACGAUGAUCCGGUGCUUGCACCGGGGAUUAGUGGCGAACGGGUGAGUAACACGUGAGUAACCUGCCCUUAACUCUGGGAUAAGCCUGGGAAACUGGGUCUAAUACCGGAUAUGACUGACUAUCGCAUGGUGGUUGGUGGAAAGCUUUUUGUGGUUUUGGAUGGACUCGCGGCCUAUCAGCUUGUUGGUGAGGUAAUGGCUUACCAAGGCGACGACGGGUAGCCGGCCUGAGAGGGUGACCGGCCACACUGGGACUGAGACACGGCCCAGACUCCUACGGGAGGCAGCAGUGGGGAAUAUUGCACAAUGGGCGCAAGCCUGAUGCAGCGACGCCGCGUGAGGGAUGACGGCCUUCGGGUUGUAAACCUCUUUCAGUAGGGAAGAAGCGAAAGUGACGGUACCUGCAGAAGAAGCGCCGGCUAACUACGUGCCAGCAGCCGCGGUAAUACGUAGGGCGCAAGCGUUAUCCGGAAUUAUUGGGCGUAAAGAGCUCGUAGGCGGUUUGUCGCGUCUGCCGUGAAAGUCCGGGGCUCAACUCCGGAUCUGCGGUGGGUACGGGCAGACUAGAGUGAUGUAGGGGAGACUGGAAUUCCUGGUGUAGCGGUGAAAUGCGCAGAUAUCAGGAGGAACACCGAUGGCGAAGGCAGGUCUCUGGGCAUUAACUGACGCUGAGGAGCGAAAGCAUGGGGAGCGAACAGGAUUAGAUACCCUGGUAGUCCAUGCCGUAAACGUUGGGCACUAGGUGUGGGGGACAUUCCACGUUUUCCGCGCCGUAGCUAACGCAUUAAGUGCCCCGCCUGGGGAGUACGGCCGCAAGGCUAAAACUCAAAGGAAUUGAC